Molecule: ribosomal RNA, 539 nt
Filed under: uncultured bacterium
Lineage: Bacteria
Description: bacterial SSU rRNA
Rfam family: Bacterial small subunit ribosomal RNA
Source: RNAcentral
GAGGAAUAUUGGUCAAUGGACGGAAGUCUGAACCAGCCAAGUAGCGUGCAGGAUGACGGCCCUAUGGGUUGUAAACUGCUUUUGUAUGGGGAUAAAGUUAGGGACGUGUCCCUAUUUGCAGGUACCAUACGAAUAAGGACCGGCUAAUUCCGUGCCAGCAGCCGCGGUAAUACGGAAGGUCCAGGCGUUAUCCGGAUUUAUUGGGUUUGAAGGGAGCGUAGGCUGGAGAUUAAGUGUGUUGUGAAAUGUAGACGCUCAACGUCUGAAUUGCAGCGCAUACUGGUUUCCUUGAGUACGCACAACGUUGGCGGAAUUCGUCGUGUAGCGGUGAAAUGCUUAGAUAUGACGAAGAACUCCGAUUGCGAAGGCAGCUGACGGGAGCGCAACUGACGCUUAAGCUCGAAGGUGCGGGUAUCAAACAGGAUUAGAUACCCUGGUAGUCCGCACAGUAAACGAUGGAUGCCCGCUGUUGGUACCUGGUAUCAGCGGCUAAGCGAAAGCAUUAAGCAUCCCACCUGGGGAGUACGCCGGCAACGGUG